RNAcentral lists this unclassified non-coding RNA (2239 nucleotides) under Hevea brasiliensis (rubber tree). Lineage: Eukaryota; Viridiplantae; Streptophyta; Magnoliopsida; Malpighiales; Euphorbiaceae. The record is from RNAcentral.
GAGAGAGAGAGAGAGAAGGGAAGAAAAGAAACAGAGAAAGAAAGAUAAUAAAGAGAGGAAUUCAAGGCAGGAGAAGGGUUUCUGUGAAGCUUGAGCCUUGAGCGAUGAUGCCGAAAAUGGAGCAACCACAGCAACAGAACCAGUUAGUAGUGCAAAACUCAGGCAGCCUUAGCUUUAGCAGCCAAAUGUCUAAAGAAGAUGAAGAGAUGUCAAGGUCUGCCCUUUCCGCCUUUAGAGCUAAAGAAGAAGAGAUUGAGAAGAAGAAACUGGAGGUUAAAGAGAAAGUACAAGCUCAGUUGGGUCGUGUUGAGGAAGAGACCAAACGUUUGGCCAUGAUUCGUGAGGUAUGUUUGCUGGAUUUUGUGCGUUUUUACUGGAAAAACUUUUUCUUGGUUUUAAGCUUUUUUAAGCUGAUGAAGUUUUGUUAGAUUUAUUUUGCCCCAAAUUUCUGAUUUUGGGAAAAUUUUGAAUUUGUAUCCUUUUCUUUUUGGCCUGUUUACACUGUCCAAAAUUCAUGUCCUGUUAUAAAUUCCUGAUCUGAACAUAACAGGACAUGAAUUUUAAGCAUAGAAGUUAUUAAACAAGGAAGUUCAAGUUCAACCUAAAAUAUUUAAACAAAAUAUAUAUUUUUUAAUUUAAAUAAACAGAAGAAAUGAUAGUUAUAAAUGUUUUCCCCAAAAAUUAAGGCCAGUUCCUGUCAGAUUUGUAAGUUAAUUUCGGGUUUUAUGUAUAUUUGCACCAGGAAAAUCAAACAAUUUUGAUAUUAAAUGUUUUGUAAUUUGUGGCUUCAAAGCUCAAAACCACAUAAUUGGGAUGGGUUUGACCUUAUAAUAGUAGUUCUGGACAGGUAAGAUUUGUGAUGGGUAAAAACUUGACCAAUUUUAUCUAUAACUUUCUGAUUUCAAACUAAAUUACAAAUCUAUCAGGAACUUGAAGCACUGGCAGAUCCCAUGAGGAAAGAGGUUGCUGUAGUUAGAAAGAAGAUUGAUACAGUGAACAAAGAAUUGAAGCCACUAGGGCAUACUGUCCAGAAGAAGGUAAAGCUCUAGGCAUGCCAAAUCAUGAUAUGAUACCCCACGAAUUUUGCCAUGUCUAUACAUGUUAAUGGGCCAAAAAUGAUUCAUUAAUAUGGCAAAUAGAGGCAAGGACCACUGAAUUUUGUAUUUAUGUUUUUGUCACAGGAGAGAGAAUACAAGGAAGCCCAGGAGGCUUUCAAUGAAAAGAACAAGGAGAAAGAACAGCUUAUAACCAAAUUGAUGGAGGUAUGAUUAGCAUCCACACAAAUAUUAUGUGCUUUUACCUGCUUCAAUUAGCCUAGAAAUAAAAUUAGUAUAGAAUUAGUUUUAUUAGAAAUUCAAGCUUUGCAGUUGAACCUAGCAUUGCUAUUAGUACUAAAAAUCAAAUUUGAUAUUCUUUAGCUAUAAAGACACUAAAAUAACAAAACUUUCCCCAAAUUGGUUUUUUCAGCAACAUCUAAAAUGGUGUUUUUUCUCUUUUUUUUCUUAACCCUGAAAUUCAAUGCCGAACAGAGUCUUAGUCUUUUAUGUUAACCUAUUGUUAAAAUUUUGAACAUCAGACAUGUAACUGGAGGUACACAAUCUGUUUUCAAGAACUAGCUAGCAUAAACCAUAUUCAUUUUAUAUAUCAUAUAUGUAGCCUGACUGCUUGAGAGAGGCUCUGUGAUUGUAUUUUUUACAUGAGCUUAUACUAGAACAUAGGAUGGGCUAUUAGACUAAAUUUCUUUUGAAGUGUAUGCUUUGUUGUUCAAGUUUCUAACAACCUUUUUGUCUUCUAAAUAUGAGCAGCUGGUGAGAGAAAGUGAGAGGUUGAGGCUGAAGAAGCUGGAGGAGCUGAGCAAGAACAUAGAUUCCAUGCACUGAUUAUAUAUAGCCUAGUGCUGAUAACUUAUUAGGUUUGUGUGAUGUAUUUAACGUAACUGCUCUAUAUUUAUAUAUGGGUGUUUUUCGGUUUGUUGUAUUCUAUCGUUGUUUGUUUUAUUAGCAUUUGAUGGAGUCUUUGACUGAUUUAGGAAGGGUAAAAUGCCCUAUAAAACAGGUUUGUAACUACAUGUAUCUUGACUCUGCAUUUUGUUCUCACUUUUUUCUCUUUUCUUCUUAUGUGUUCAAAUUUGUCAUUGUCUCUUUCAAUUUUUAUUAAUUGGGGUUUAAAGAAGAGUAGAUUUUAACUCUUUUUUUUUCUUUUGGGUAUUUUUGUUUGAAAUUGACAUGAUAAAUAGAAG